UGCCAGACUCCUACGGGAGGCAGCAGUGGGGAAUAUUGCACAAUGGGGGAAACCCUGAUGCAGCGACGCCGCGUGAGCGAUGAAGUAUUUCGGUAUGUAAAGCUCUAUCAGCAGGGAAGAAGGUGACGGUACCUGACUAAGAAGCCCCGGCUAACUACGUGCCAGCAGCCGCGGUAAUACGUAGGGGGCAAGCGUUAUCCGGAUUUACUGGGUGUAAAGGGAGCGUAGACGGCGAUGCAAGCCAGAUGUGAAAGCCCGGGGCUCAACCCCGGGACUGCAUUUGGAACUGUGUGGCUGGAGUGUCGGAGAGGCAGGCGGAAUUCCUAGUGUAGCGGUGAAAUGCGUAGAUAUUAGGAGGAACACCAGUGGCGAAGGCGGCCUGCUGGACGAUGACUGACGUUGAGGCUCGAAAGCGUGGGGAGCAAACAGGAUUAGAUACCCCUGUA
Molecule: ribosomal RNA, 446 nt
Filed under: uncultured bacterium
Lineage: Bacteria
Description: bacterial SSU rRNA
Rfam family: Bacterial small subunit ribosomal RNA
Source: RNAcentral